This 253-nucleotide ribosomal RNA is filed under the name uncultured bacterium. RNAcentral's name for it is "partial 16S ribosomal RNA". It matches the Rfam family "Bacterial small subunit ribosomal RNA", at positions 524 to 776 of the family's 1533-position model. The record is from RNAcentral.
UACGGGGGGAGCAAGCGUUGUUCGGAUUUACUGGGCGUAAAGGGCGCGUAGGCGGUCGUGACAAGUCACUUGUGAAAUCUCCGGGCUUAACUCGGAACGGUCAAGUGAUACUGUCGGACUAGAGUACAGAAGGGGCAACUGGAAUUCUCGGUGUAGCGGUGAAAUGCGUAGAUAUCGAGAGGAACACCUGCGGCGAAGGCGGGUUGCUGGGCUGAUACUGACGCUGAGGCGCGACAGCGUGGGAGCAAACAGG